AACGAACGCUGGCGGCAGGCUUAACACAUGCAAGUCGAACGAGUGUAGCAAUACACUAGUGGCGCACGGGUGAGUAACACGUGGAUAUCUGCCUUUUGGUUCGGGAUAACCCUGGGAAACUAGGGCUAAUACCGAAUGGUUCCUACGGGAUAAAGAUUUAUCGCCAAAAGAUGAGUCCGCGUCCGAUUAGCUAGUUGGUGAGGUAAUGGCUCACCAAGGCGACGAUCGGUAGCUGGUCUGAGAGGACGAUCAGCCACACUGGGACUGAGACACGGCCCAGACUCCUACGGGAGGCAGCAGUGGGGAAUAUUGGACAAUGGGGGCACACCCUGAUCCAGCCAUGCCGCGUGAGUGAUSAAGGCSUUMGGGUUGUAAAGCUCUUUUGGCGGGGAMGAURAUGACGGU
Molecule: ribosomal RNA, 405 nt
Filed under: bacterium Ellin6008
Lineage: Bacteria; Pseudomonadati; Pseudomonadota; Alphaproteobacteria
Description: bacterial SSU rRNA
Rfam family: Bacterial small subunit ribosomal RNA
Source: RNAcentral